UGGACCUGGAUAUGGAGGAAUACAACACCAGGAGAUUUUACUUCGUAGAGCACAAGCCGCCAUCAAGACAGAGCAAGAGUCUCACUGAGUGUCAUGAGAAGCUCAGCAAGGUGCAAGCCUGGUGUAAGUUCCAGGACAAGGUCAUUGAUAAGUGUUUCAAGAUGAUCACGUCCAUACACAAGAAGAUGAGCUGUUCCUCUUCUGGCACCGCUGCACCA
RNAcentral lists this microRNA precursor (218 nucleotides) under Arabidopsis thaliana x Arabidopsis arenosa. RNAcentral describes it as "MIR854". It matches the Rfam family "MIR854 microRNA precursor family". The record is from RNAcentral. Lineage: Eukaryota; Viridiplantae; Streptophyta; Magnoliopsida; Brassicales; Brassicaceae.